RNAcentral lists this ribosomal RNA (465 nucleotides) under uncultured bacterium. RNAcentral describes it as "bacterial SSU rRNA". It matches the Rfam family "Bacterial small subunit ribosomal RNA", at positions 338 to 795 of the family's 1533-position model. The record is from RNAcentral.
CCUACGGGACGCAGCAGUGGGGAAUAUUGCACAAUGGGCGCAAGCCUGAUGCAGCCAUGCCGCGUGUAUGAAGAAGGCCUUCGGGUUGUAAAGUACUUUCAGCGGGGAGGAAGGUGUUGUGGUUAAUAACCGCAGCAAUUGACGUUACCCGCAGAAGAAGCACCGGCUAACUCCGUGCCAGCAGCCGCGGUAAUACGGAGGGUGCAAGCGUUAAUCGGAAUUACCGGGCGUAAAGCGCACGCAGGCGGUCUGUCAAGUCGGAUGUGAAAUCCCCGGGCUCAACCUGGGAACUGCAUUUGAAACUGGCAAGCUAGAGUCUCGUAGAGGGGGGUAGAAUUCCAGGUGUAGCGGUGAAAUGCGUAGAGAUCUGGAGGAAUACCGGUGGCGAAGGCGGCCCCCUGGACGAAGACUGACGCUCAGGUGCGAAAGCGUGGGGAGCAAACAGGAUUAGAUACCCUCGUAGUC